UGCGGUGCGGUUACUCACAGGGCCUAGCCCAGAAGCCAGCUGAUGCUGUUGCAUUGGAUUAGUCAUUUUGCUGGCCCGAACAUAGCCACCUGUAAGCUGGAACUUCCUUACGGCAGCCUGUCACUUCCACGGGACCCACCAGCUUAAAUGCCGGCAGCCCUGGGACUUCUGGCCUCACAAUGGUUGAGUCUGGGUGGCCCAGUAAACAUGAGGAAGAGAUGCCUGUACCUUCUGGAUGCUCCCGCUGAAAGGCUUCAGGACACCCGAGUUCUUCUUCACAUCAUCAUAAUUGGGGACUCCGCCAAUGAAAAUGUCUGUGUUGCACUUAAUCUGUGUGAAGCCUCCCUGCCAAAAGAUUAAAAACAAAGCAUUGUAUGACUUUAAAACAGAUGUUCAAAAUGAUCAAAUGUGUCUUCAGUUCCCUGUUGGGGAACAAAAUGGUAGACAGAGCCUAGAGACCCAUCAUGACAAUCUGUCUACACAAGGGCUUCACUUUCACAGUGUUUCUCAUUGCUCCUUACCACCUGCCUGAAUGUUGGUGAACGUCUUAAAGUCUCUGAGACUUCAUUUCAUUGUC
This 577-nucleotide long non-coding RNA is filed under the name Homo sapiens (human). Its description in RNAcentral is "PREDICTED lncRNA (TCONS_00217360)". Lineage: Eukaryota; Metazoa; Chordata; Mammalia; Primates; Hominidae. The record is from RNAcentral.